This 698-nucleotide long non-coding RNA is filed under the name Danio rerio (zebrafish). RNAcentral's name for it is "lncRNA (ENSDARG00000117265.1)". Lineage: Eukaryota; Metazoa; Chordata; Actinopteri; Cypriniformes; Danionidae. The record is from RNAcentral.
UCUAUGCUCGCUAUCCCAAGGUUCAUUGCGAUCCCAAGGUUCACUGCGGUUUUCCACAAGAUGCAGAAACUUUUGACAUAUGAAUUCAUCUUGACUAAGGUGGCAAAACCUGGAAUAACACCUGGGAGCCCUCCAGGAAUUCCUGACACUUUACGCCCAAGUCUCCUCAUGCUAACCGGGUUGCAAUAUGACAGUCUAGUCAGCAUAAACACCUGGACUCACCAAGCACACUUUGGUUCUCAGUGUUUUGUAAAAAUUGUUUUUGCUAUUCUUCAGUAAAUACUUGAAUAUGUUUUGAACUUAUUCUACUUUUGAUGUUUAAGUUCAGAAAGUUGUUAUUAUAAACAUAAUUUGCAUUUGUCAUGAACUUGACUUCUUGUUGUUGUGAAAGCUGUUUAUUAUAAUGGCAUUUCCAAAGGCAUCAUUUGAAAAGAUUUUUUGCAGUGCAGUUUUACUUGAGCUUGACAUACCAGAUGUAUGACAUGAAUAAAUAUCACAAAAUAAAUAUAAUAAUGAUAAUACAAAAUAUAAAUUUCCUUCAAUUAUAAUUGUUUUUAAUCAUUUAUAUAUGUAUGGUAAUAUAUUAUUGCAUUAAAAACUGUUAUAAAUAUAUAUAUUUUUGGUUUUUGCAUGUUUGCGUGAUUUUUUUUUUUUGUGGCAUUAUAAAUAAAUUCUAAAUGUUUCAUUAAAAAUGUAUU